GACAGAGGGUGCAAGCGUUGUUCGGAAUUACUGGGCGUAAAGCGCGCGUAGGCGGCUCUUUAAGUCGGAUGUGAAAUCCCACGGCCUAACCGUGGAAGGGCAUUCGAAACUAGAGAGCUUGAGUCCUGGAGAGGGUGGUGGAAUUCCCAGUGUAGAGGUGAAAUUCGUAGAUAUUGGGAGGAACACCGGUGGCGAAGGCGACCACCUGGACAGAGACUGACGCUGAGGUGCGAAAGCGUGGGGAG
This 245-nucleotide ribosomal RNA is filed under the name uncultured bacterium. RNAcentral's name for it is "partial 16S ribosomal RNA". It matches the Rfam family "Bacterial small subunit ribosomal RNA", at positions 524 to 768 of the family's 1533-position model. The record is from RNAcentral.